UUACGGUCACAACACAUUGAAACACCGGUUCCCGUAUGAUCACCGAACUUAAGCAACGUCGAGCCUGGUCAAUACCUAGAUGGGUGACCGCUUGGGAAUACCAGGUGCUGGAA
Molecule: non-coding RNA, 113 nt
Organism: Acanthosepion pharaonis
Lineage: Eukaryota; Metazoa; Mollusca; Cephalopoda; Sepiida; Sepiidae
Source: the annotation of a GenBank genome assembly